This 347-nucleotide ribosomal RNA is filed under the name Acanthoperga marlatti. Its description in RNAcentral is "partial 16S ribosomal RNA". The record is from RNAcentral. Lineage: Eukaryota; Metazoa; Arthropoda; Insecta; Hymenoptera; Pergidae.
AUAAUAAUUAGUCUUUUAAUUGAAGGCUGGUAUGAAGGAUUGGACGAGAUAAAUGCUGUCUCAUUAAAAUUAUUAUUUAAUUUAAUUUUUAAGUAAAAAAGCUUAAAUAUAAUUAUAGGACGAGAAGACCCCAUAGAGUUUUAUAUUUUAUUUUAAUUUUUUAUAAAAUUAUAUAAAAUUAACUUAAAUUAUUUUAUUGGGGCGAUAAAAAAAUUUAAUAAACUUUUUUAUUUAGAUAAGCACAGAUUAGUGAARUUUUGAUCCUGAAUUUUAGAUUAUUAGAUUAAGUUACCUUGGGGAUAACAGSGUUAUUUUUUUUAGAAGUUCAUAUUAAUAAAGAAGAUUGC